AGUCAAUCGCUUCUCUUCAAUCAAAUUCAGUUGGUCGUAACGACUCUGAAUCCAUUCAGCAUCAGUCAACUUGGGGUUUGAGGGUAUCAUUUUUCUUUUAUCUUUUUUUAAAAAAAAAAUUUUGAUUUUUGAUUUUUGAUUUUUUUUGAUUUUGUUUUACCCUCUCUUUUUUUGAUUACAUUUGUAAUGCCCCAGUUUGACUGUUUUGCUGAUUCUCAAGAUACAGUUGAAUGAUCUUCUUUUCGUGCUCAAGGAGACGAGUGAUCUCAUCAGGAAUAUCCUUCAACAUCAUCUUCCUCUGCCUCAAAUACAGGGAAUUAA
Molecule: long non-coding RNA, 321 nt
Filed under: Lathyrus oleraceus (garden pea)
Lineage: Eukaryota; Viridiplantae; Streptophyta; Magnoliopsida; Fabales; Fabaceae
Description: Pisum sativum (pea) long non-coding RNA (PSAT_LNC020638)
Source: RNAcentral